GGAGAUAUCAAAGAGUUGGGUAUUCUAAUACUAGGAGGCAGCGUCCGUUCUGCCUAGAGAGCAGAUGUGACUGUUUAGAACUCUUUGUUGAGCGAAUAAACUGGGGAGAAGGGCAAGGUUAAGUCCGACGCAUUUUCAGAUCCGCCACCAUUUACCUUAGGACCUGGAGAAAAGACUGUUUCAGUUAGCUAGCUUGAAGGCCUGCUUGGGAAGCAAGAUAGACAAGGAUUUUUUUUCCCCAUCCUCUAGCCUCACGCCUUAUUUUUCUUUCACAAUUCUGGCCAAAGAAAGCAGUAACUCAUAAUCAGAAGAGAAUUUAUCAUGAAGUUAAUUAAGCUGUGUACCUAAUUUUGUAUCUGUCAUCGUGUAUUCUUAAAAGAAGACUCCGACAUUGUAUAAGUUCUGGAUCUGAACAAAACCUGGAUAAACUCUGGUGCUUUAUUAACUUGAUGAAGAUUAGUGACACUGAGGAAUACUGAGGAACCAGGCUCUAUUCCACCCCAUCCCCUUCAUACACACCUCAUUCCAAAUGCUAUCCUGUCACAGCAGAUGCCACAUCACUUUUGGGGUGGGCUAAGAGAUCAAGACACUCCCUGUAGGGCAAGCUUAUCUGUGUGCUUACUUGGAAGCUCUUGCUUACUUAGAAGCUCCAGAGCCAGACGUCUCUUCGACCAGGAGACUGCCUCGAGAGAUAACAAAUUAUAACCUAAAGUAUGCCCAUGAUGAAACUCACUCCCACUUGGAGAGUAUCUCAAGACUCUGGCCACCUUACCACCUAGUUCUGCCCGCGAGGGCACCAGCUCAACCACCUGGUAGAUAAAGCACCAAAGCAAGUCAUUGAGACCCCCACUGGCUCACCCCCUCCCCUGCAUGCCAUUCAUGUCAAGUCCCCCUUUGAAAACCCUUGCUUUUUUGCCCCAAAAGUGAAGCAGUACCCUUAAAGGCAGAAGCCUG
This 954-nucleotide long non-coding RNA is filed under the name Homo sapiens (human). RNAcentral's name for it is "HSALNT0008312". The record is from RNAcentral. Lineage: Eukaryota; Metazoa; Chordata; Mammalia; Primates; Hominidae.